CGAUUGCGAAUGUGUUUCAUUUUCCAAGUUCCAGUCACAGACAUUUGCACUUACAAACCUGACCCUUUUCUCCAAAGCGACUCAGAAUGUUCAGCUACUUAAACUGAUUUAGCCAUUUUUUCUACUGGACUGGAAUUAUGCAAAGGCUUAUUUCACUCGAUGUCAAAAAUGAAUGAGUAAUAAGCUUGGGUGCUAGAAUCCCCAAAAUAGCGAGCAAGUUAGAAAAACGUUGGGAGAACACACUGAAGCUUCAUGAAAUAAUACUUUAAUUUGUACAGUACGGAUAUAUUUCGACAAGAUGCUUUCCUCAGGAUACAUGUCCAUGUCAUAAGGAGCGACACAAAUACCAGAGAGUACGGAGGUUAUGACAUCACUGGAAUAGCAGUUGAGCGCAGUGCUGAAAUAGUAACUACCACAAGAGUACACCAAAUAAUAUGAGGCUAAUAAGUACAAAUACUGAGCAAUUCAGGGUAGGGACUUCACUGAAGGGUACUGCAGCAGGAGGUGGGAUUCAAACCUGCAAACUCCUGAAGCCACUAUCUAUGUAGGAAGUACUUUCUUUUUUUAAGAGCCCCAAAAAAAAUAUCCUGGACAGGAAUCCAUUUGGCCAGUCCACCACUUGUAGUAUCAUCUUGAUUCACUUUCAUGGGAUUUCCUACAAGACUUAAAAUAAACAUGUUUACAUUCCAGUGCUACGCGUGUCAUCUCUGAAGCUGUCGUAUACUGAGACUGUCUGAGGACAUUCUGUGACCUUAACGACCGGAUAAAACAAUGUUCUCUUGUCCAAAAUAUGUGAUUACAUGUCCACGCUGAGAUACCACCCACACGCUUUUUAAAAGCAACACAAACAGGAAGUGAAUUUAGACAAGUCAGUCAUUACUCACUCAUCAGUGGUUCUUUGGAAUCUACAUUAAGGGAACCAGUGCCUAACCCGGCAACACAGGGCGUAAGGCCAGAGGGGGAGGGGACACACCCAGGACGGGACGCCAGUCCGUCGCAAGGCACCCCAAGCGGGACUCGAACCCCAGACCCACUGGAGAGCAGGACCCGGUCCAACCCACUGCGCCACCGCACCCCCCAUUUACAGAAAUUCAGUUCUCAGAAAAAAGAUCAAGAUCCAGGUGGGCAGUCUGUGCAACAAAUUUGCAGAUAUUUUUAUGAUUUUGACUUUGAUGUUUUUUACGCUUUUAAAUAGAACUGCAACAUUUUCAGUUCAGUAUGUUUACUAAAAUAGUUUGUAUGCCUGAUAAUUUGUUUGGGUGACAUCUUUGUCCAAGGCAUCUCACUGGGAAACAAAGUAGACAUCCAGUUCUAUAUCAUUAGAGAAUAUAUAAUACUUUGCACAUUGUCAGACACUUUUCUGGUGUAACGAGCAAGGUGUACCCUGUUAGGUGGUCUAAC
Molecule: long non-coding RNA, 1401 nt
Filed under: Scleropages formosus (Asian bonytongue)
Lineage: Eukaryota; Metazoa; Chordata; Actinopteri; Osteoglossiformes; Osteoglossidae
Description: lncRNA (ENSSFOG00015024546.1)
Source: RNAcentral